GAUGGACGCUAGCGGCAGGCCUAACACAUGCAAGUCGAGGGGUAGAAGGAGCUUGCUCCUUUGAGACCGGCGCACGGGUGCGUAACGCGUAUGCAAUCUACCUUGUACAGGGGAAUAGCCCAGAGAAAUUUGGAUUAAUGCCCCAUAGUAUAUAACCUUCGCAUGUUGGUUAUAUUAAAGUUCCAACGGUACAAGAUGAGCAUGCGUCCCAUUAGUUAGUUGGUAAGGUAACGGCUUACCAAGACGAUGAUGGGUAGGGGUCCUGAGAGGGAGAUCCCCCACACUGGUACUGAGACACGGACCAGACUCGUACGGGAGGCAGCAGUGAGGAAUAUUGGUCAAUGGUCGCAAGACUGAACCAGCCAUGCCGCGUGCAGGAAGACGGUCCUAUGGAUUGUAAACUGCUUUUAUACAGGAAGAAACCCUCCCACGUGUGGGAGCUUGACGGUACUGUAGGAAUAAGGAGCGGCUAACUCCGUG
This 480-nucleotide ribosomal RNA is filed under the name uncultured bacterium. RNAcentral describes it as "partial 16S ribosomal RNA". It matches the Rfam family "Bacterial small subunit ribosomal RNA", at positions 28 to 507 of the family's 1533-position model. The record is from RNAcentral.